Molecule: ribosomal RNA, 433 nt
Filed under: uncultured bacterium
Lineage: Bacteria
Description: partial 16S ribosomal RNA
Rfam family: Bacterial small subunit ribosomal RNA
Source: RNAcentral
AGCGAACGCUGGCGGCAGGCCUAACACAUGCAAGUCGAACGGAUCCUUCGGGAUUAGUGGCGGACGGGGUAGUAACACGUGGGAACGUGCCCUUUGGUUCGGAACAACUCAGGGAAACUUGAGCUAAUACCGGAUGUGCCCUUCGGGGGAAAGAUUUAUCGCCAUUGGAGCGGCCCGCGUGUGAUUAGCUAGUUGUUGAGGUAACGGCCCACCAAGGCGACGAUCAGUAGCUGGUAUGAGAGGAUGAUCAGCCACACUGGGACUGAGACACGGCCCAGACUCCUACGGGAGGCAGCAGUGGGGAAUCUUGCGCAAUGGGCGAAAGCAUGACGCAGCCAUGCCGCGUGAAUGAUGAAGGUAUUAGGAUUGUAAAAUUCUUUCAGCGGGGACGAUAAUGACGGUACCCGCAGAAGAAGCUCCGGCUAACUUCGUG